GACGAAGGAUGCAAGCGUUAUCCGGAUUCAUUGGGUUUAAAGCGUGCGUAGGCGGUUCGUUAAGUUCGUUGUGAAAGCCCCGGGCUCAACCUGGGAAUGGCAAUGGAAACUGGCGGGCUGGAGUAUGGCAGAGGGGGGUGGAAUUCCGCGUGUAGCAGUGAAAUGCGUAGAGAUGCGGAGGAACACCGAUGGCGAAGGCAGCCCCCUGGGCCAAUACUGACGCUCAGGCACGAAAGCGUGGGGAGCAAACAGG
Molecule: ribosomal RNA, 253 nt
Filed under: uncultured bacterium
Lineage: Bacteria
Description: partial 16S ribosomal RNA
Rfam family: Bacterial small subunit ribosomal RNA
Source: RNAcentral